CAGCAGCCGCGGGAAUACAGAGGGUGCGAGCGUUAAUCGGAUUUACUGGGCGUAAAGCGUGCGUAGGCGGCUUUUUAAGUCGGAUGUGAAAUCCCUGAGCUUAACUUAGGAAUUGCAUUCGAUACUGGGAAGCUAGAGUAUGGGAGAGGAUGGUAGAAUUCCAGGUGUAGCGGUAAAAUGCGUAGAGAUCUGGAGGAAUACCGAUGGCGAAGGCAGCCAUCUGGCCUAAUACUGACGCUGAGGUACGAAAGCAUGGGGAGCAAACAGGAUUAGAUACCCGCGUAGUCCCUGUCUCUUAUAC
This 301-nucleotide ribosomal RNA is filed under the name uncultured bacterium. Its description in RNAcentral is "partial 16S ribosomal RNA". It matches the Rfam family "Bacterial small subunit ribosomal RNA", at positions 509 to 807 of the family's 1533-position model. The record is from RNAcentral.